UGAGUUUUACUAAUUAGCUCACCUGCCGCAGCUCGCCUGCCAGGUGGUUUUCUUAAUUAGUUAAUUGGUUGCAUCUGGUGCGUUUCACUUAAAAGGGAACCGGACAGUACUGUUGUGACUUAGUUAACAUCUCUUCCAGUUUCACAGGUUAAAGACUUUUUGAAGUAAAGAGGAGCAUCUCAUCUGAACCUGAUGUCUAUCAUGGAUAUUUAACUGCAGUUCUGUGAGUAUCCCAACUUAACCAUGAAGCAUAACUGCAAACUGUAAGUCAUUAAUUUCUCAUUACUCUUGGGCACAUGGAUGUAUUUUGGCUUCCUGGUGAGUUAACCUGUUACCUGAAGGUUGAUCUGAGUAGAAAGGAUGUUUUAUUGGUUCAUGGGUUACUUAGGUGUUUGGUUUAUGUUGGUUUUAAUGAUUUGUUAAAAUGGUUACAGGCUCCAAGUUAUUGUUGUAAGCUGGAGUAAUGGGUUGGGUUCUGAUAUCUUCAGUCUUCUUUCAUUCUACUCUCCUGAGCUCUGCGUCUUCAUUACAUGAGUGUUGCUUUACUGAUAAGGUUGUGGUCUGAGUGAGCAGAGGUGCAUACUGGGAUACAGAGCUGUCUGAAGCCUACAGGUCUGUAGACACGCCCCCUCAGGGGAAACCCAGUGUUUGAGAAACUGUGGUGACGUCAGUUACAUGGACUGGAAUGUUCUUAAAGAUGGAGACAGGGAUUCAGAAAGAGAAACACCAGGGGGAGAUGAGGGGGCUCCUCAUCUCAACGACCAAAACACAACUUCAGUCUAAUACGGAGAACCAUGGAACACAUUCAACAGUCCCCUCCAGGCAUCGUGACUCCUCAGGAACAGUUUAAUUUCCAAGAAGGUCUUAUUUGGGGCCAUCCCCAUAUGGAUCCUGCUCCUCAAGAGCCACCCCCCUCCACUGGGUGGUCUUCUGAACAGAUGACCUCCUUCCUGUCCUCAGGCUGACUAAAGCUGCAACGUUUACAUCUGUGAAGGCCCCUCUUUCAGGAAACCACAGGACUACAAAGACAUGACUUCAGAGAUGUUGAAUCAACCUGGGACAAAUUUUUGGAGACGCCAAGCAUAAUCCAUCACCAAUGUGGGACGCCACUGAAGAAUGUUGUACAUAAUUUACGUCUCUUGAGACAUUGGUUGUUCUGUUCUGGGUGCCCUGGCAGGAGAGCUGGGGGUGGAUGAUGGAAUGUUAUUUGGCAUGAGGUUUUUACCCUGCAUGAUUGUUUGGCCUUUUAUGGCUCAGUGGUGUGUGUUUGGGUUUGACAUGAGAUGGAAGAUUUUUGAGCAUCUCUAGGGUUCUACUGUGUGUGUCUCCCACUCACACCUGGCAUGGGGUUCUACGUGCCUGUCCUGGGUUCUAUGUGUGUGUGUGUCUGGCUUGCUUUGACAGUGAUAAUGUUCAUACGGGGGUCUGUGUGAUUGGCUUGGGAUAUUGGAAUGGUUAACUAAAUCAUACCUGAUGGACGGCCACACGUUUACUUAAGGGCCUCCAGUAGACAUGAAGAGCCCUGAGCGACGCUCCGGAGCGAUAUCCAACACACUGGGCAGGAAGGAGAGCAUCCAACUCAAGUGUAAAAGGAUGCAAGCGGCGUGUUCAGAUCACAAAGAAAAAUAUGUUUUCAGGAAGAGGUUCUGUGCGAGAGGUUCACGACCGACGCAGAGUUGUCAAACUAGGACUACACCAAUCAGGAUCAAUGGAGGAUGGACACGAAAAGGAAUUCCACAAGGAGAGUCUGACGUUGGAAAGGGACCUAAAUGGAUAUUCAAGAUGACCUUCAGACCUGUAAUGAGACGGCUCUUCCCACCUGGCUGGAUUGAUGAAGAGCCCUGUGGAUCUUGUCUUGCUCUCAGUUGCACGUCUUCUCAGGCUGAACUGUAUUUGUUUCGGACAGGACUAGUUGAACGAUUGGUUCCCUUAAAUCAGAACCAAUCCGGGAACUCCAGCUAGUGCGCUCUUCGAGCUGAAGUUGUGCUCUUCAGCUGAGGAGGUAAGGAAGCCUUCACUGGGGCUUCAAGGUGUAACGAGGACUGUUUCAAAGUGUUCCAUGGUACUCUGAUGAAGACCGUUGUUGUGUUCCACUGGCUGAGAGGAAGAACCCACACAUCUUCCUCUUGGCCUUUCUCCUCUGAGAAUCCUGGCGCCAUCUUGAAGGAUAUUCCAGCUCAUGUAACUGAUGUCACAACAGAUUCUCAAACACUUGGUUUCUCCUGAGGGGCACGUCUAUGGAACUGAAGACUUCAGACAGCACUGUAUCCCAGCAUGCAUCUCUGCUCACUCAGACCACACCCCCAUGAGUAGGAUGCAACACUCUAGUGAUGGAGAUGUAGAGUUUUAUAAGUAACGAGGGAGCAGACUAAGGUGAUUAGAACGCAAUGGAAUGUCAAGUCUGUAAAUCUUUAAACCAUGAAGAUGGUUGGAUAGUUCAGGAAUAUGGCUUAUUUUUAUUAUGGGCAGUCCUUUCACUCAGAUGCCCACUUCUCACUGGAGCUGUACAUGUGUUGGCUGGCUGGCAUGAUUUGCUGUUGGUGAUGAGGCGGUCAGGGUGACGUUGCAGUGCUAUGGUCGGCUCUGUGAGGUCAACGUUUAGAUUUGCUCUGUAUGGUUUGUACCCUGAAUAAUCUAGAUAAUUGUAAAAUGAAGACAGUUUUGUAUUGAAUGAUUCCAUGAUUUUAGGUUUAAAGUUGUUGUGGGACGUACAUGGUAGUUUGGUUCUUCGUAUGGGUUUGAGUGAUAUAACUUGUACACACUGGGUGCAUAAUAAUGUAAAGGUACACUGAAUAGUAUUAAUGACCAACAGCAACAAACAGAUCUCCUCAAGGUAAGUCUGUUGGCUGUAUUUUAAUGAAGACCAUCGACUUCAGGAUCUUCCUCCGUUCAGCUCAAGGUGAGGCGCUGGUUAUGUUUUUUCUUUGGUUGGUUCCGGCUGGAAUGUUCGGAUUCCAGUCGGACGGUUUGUGCUUCCCGCCGUGGAAGCUUCUGAGUGCGAUCACUUGAUUUACGGUAGUCCCAAUGGUUAGCAUAGAAUGUUGUAGUCUUGACAACAAUAAGAAACCACCUGGCAGUUAGUUGAGGGAAUCUGGCGGAACGUUCUGGAUUGUAUUUGCGUAACCUCGAGCCGUUGCCAACGGAAACUAUUUUUCAGUCGGUUUCCAUUGGGAAUUGUUGCCCCUAUUUUAAACAACUAAAGUUUGAUAUUAAAUACAUACUGACACGUACGUCGUACAAUAUGUUGAUAAUUUCCGAUGGUUGCGCCGUACUCUUAACCACGAUGACGUUGCGGGACUCUCACUGCGUACAAAACGGCGUUCUACUUGCGGGCCUAUUUUUGACAUCAAGGAAGGCUUAAAAUCAUUUCAAGAUGGAAGAUAAUUUGACAUUUCUUCAACGGAACCCAGCACCUGAAUAUGGCGGAGUAUAUUUGAUUUAAUAUCGAUACUGCUUAGUGUUCUUUGUUAUUUCAGCUUUUGUACGUUCUAAAUAUCUGCUGUCAUUCAUUGCCACAGAAGUUAAACCCUACCCAAUAGAAUGACGUUAAACAACGACUUUGGUGCAGAGUUAACAACUGGAUAAUAUAAAAGCUAAAAUAAUGCCCACAUGUUACAGUAGAAGAUACUCUAGAACUGUACAAGGUUAAAAAGGUAUCAUGUAGUUUGUCCCAAGGUGUCUGCCUCCUCACCUAGAGCAAGACCUCCUCCUCCUCACCCAGAGCCAGACCUCCACCUCCUCACCCAGAGCCAGACCUCCACCUCCUCACCCAGAGCCAGACCUCCACCUCCUGUCAGAAGUCCUCCAGAACAGCUGAAAGGCGAGGCUGAGAGGCUGGGGUCCGGAGGCUUGUGGUGCCAGGAUGGACCGGAGACUGAGGCUGGAGACCAGGGGCCUGCAGCACCGGACCAGAGGGUAACCAUCACCAAGCUCAUCUGAAACACUAAAAUCCACGGUAGUUUAGGUCUAGUUUUGAUCAUCUUAUGACUUUAAAUCUGUGCCAAGCUGUGAUUUUAGUUAAUUCAUACGGGGGUUAUGCAAGAGUCAUACGAGCCAUUAAUGUUACUAGUGCUGCUACGACCGUAGUGGAUGAAUUGCUGAACGCGACAAUCUGCAGACGUUGUCUAAUUUAAGUGUUAAAAUUUGUCUUCCAUUUUACAAGUGAACCUCAG
Long non-coding RNA from Gadus macrocephalus (Pacific cod), 4172 nucleotides. RefSeq lists it as uncharacterized. The transcript has 3 exons. Lineage: Eukaryota; Metazoa; Chordata; Actinopteri; Gadiformes; Gadidae. The record is from RefSeq and is a predicted model, not a curated record.